RNAcentral lists this ribosomal RNA (312 nucleotides) under uncultured bacterium. RNAcentral describes it as "bacterial SSU rRNA". It matches the Rfam family "Bacterial small subunit ribosomal RNA", at positions 28 to 337 of the family's 1533-position model. The record is from RNAcentral.
GACGAACGCUGGCGGCGUGCUUAACACAUGCAAGUCGAGCGGUAAGGCCCUUUCGGGGGUACGACGAGCGGCGAACGGGUGAGUAACACGUGGGUGACCUGCCUUCAGCUCUGGGAUAAGCCGUGGGAAACGUAGGGUCGUAAUACCGGAUAUGACUCCAUGAUGCAUGUUGUGGGGUGGAAAGCUUUUGCGGCUGGAGAUGGGCCCGCGGCCUAUCAGCUUGUUAGGNGGGGUGAGGCCUACCAAGGCGACGACGGGUAGCCGGCCUGAGAGGGCGACCGGCCACACUGGGACUGAGACACGGCCCAGACU